RNAcentral lists this transfer RNA (70 nucleotides) under Marmota monax (woodchuck). RNAcentral's name for it is "tRNA.Ala". Lineage: Eukaryota; Metazoa; Chordata; Mammalia; Rodentia; Sciuridae. The record is from RNAcentral.
GGGGUUGUGGCUCAGUGGUAGAGUGCUCACCUAGCACAGGUGAGCCCUGGGUUCAAUCCUCAGCACCACA